RNAcentral lists this ribosomal RNA (253 nucleotides) under uncultured bacterium. Its description in RNAcentral is "partial 16S ribosomal RNA". It matches the Rfam family "Bacterial small subunit ribosomal RNA", at positions 524 to 776 of the family's 1533-position model. The record is from RNAcentral.
UACGGAGGGUGCGAGCGUUGUCCGGAAUCACUGGGCGUAAAGGGCGCGUAGGCGGCCUGAUAAGUAGGGGGUGAAAUCCUGCGGCUUAACCGCAGGGCUGCCUUCUAAACUGUCGGGCUAGAGCACGGUAGAGGCAGAUGGAAUUCCCGGUGUAGCGGUGAAAUGCGCAGAUAUCAGGAGGAACACCGGUGGCGAAGGCGGAUCUCUGGGCCGAUACUGACGCUGAGGAGCGAAAGCGUGGGGAGCGAACAGG